RNAcentral lists this ribosomal RNA (293 nucleotides) under uncultured bacterium. Its description in RNAcentral is "partial 16S ribosomal RNA". It matches the Rfam family "Bacterial small subunit ribosomal RNA", at positions 775 to 1067 of the family's 1533-position model. The record is from RNAcentral.
GGAUUAGAUACCCUGGUAGUCCACGCCGUAAACGAUGUCAACUAGCCGUUGGGAGCCUUGAGCUCUUAGUGGCGCAGCUAACGCAUUAAGUUGACCGCCUGGGGAGUACGGCCGCAAGGUUAAAACUCAAAUGAAUUGACGGGGGCCCGCACAAGCGGUGGAGCAUGUGGUUUAAUUCGAAGCAACGCGAAGAACCUUACCAGGCCUUGACAUCCAAUGAACUUUCCAGAGAUGGAUUGGUGCCUUCGGGAACAUUGAGACAGGUGCUGCAUGGCUGUCGUCAGCUCGUGUUG